UGGGGAAUAUUGCACAAUGGGCGCAAGCCUGAUGCAGCAACGCCGCGUGAGGGAUGAAGGCCUUCGGGUUGUAAACCUCUUUUAGUAGGGAAGAAGCGAAAGUGACGGUACCUGCAGAAAAAGCGCCGGCUAACUACGUGCCAGCAGCCGCGGUAAUACGUAGGGCGCAAGCGUUAUCCGGAAUUAUUGGGCGUAAAGAGCUCGUAGGCGGUUUGUCACGUCUGCUGUGAAAUCUGGGGGCUCAACCCCCAGCCUGCAGUGGGUACGGACAGACUAGAGUGUGGUAGGGGAGACUGGAAUUCCUGGUGUAGCGGUGAAAUGCUCAGAUAUCAGGAGGAACACCAAUGGCGAAGGCAGGUCUCUGGGCCACUACUGACGCUGAGGAGCGAAAGCGUGGGGAGCAAACAGG
This 409-nucleotide ribosomal RNA is filed under the name uncultured prokaryote. Its description in RNAcentral is "bacterial SSU rRNA". It matches the Rfam family "Bacterial small subunit ribosomal RNA", at positions 355 to 776 of the family's 1533-position model. RNAcentral also lists the same sequence under 1 other name. The record is from RNAcentral.